RNAcentral lists this ribosomal RNA (498 nucleotides) under uncultured bacterium. RNAcentral describes it as "partial 16S ribosomal RNA". It matches the Rfam family "Bacterial small subunit ribosomal RNA", at positions 30 to 523 of the family's 1533-position model. The record is from RNAcentral.
AUUGAACGCUGGCGGCAUGCCUUACACAUGCAAGUCGAACGGUAACAGGUCUUCGGGUGCUGACGAGUGGCGAACGGGUGAGUAAUACAUCGGAACGUGCCUAGUAGUGGGGGAUAACUACUCGAAAGAGUGGCUAAUACCGCAUGAGAUCUACGGAUGAAAGCAGGGGAUCGCAAGACCUUGUGCUACUAGAGCGGCCGAUGGCAGAUUAGGUAGUUGGUGGGAUAAAAGCUUACCAAGCCGACGAUCUGUAGCUGGUCUGAGAGGACGAUCAGCCACACUGGGACUGAGACACGGCCCAGACUCCUACGGGAGGCAGCAGUGGGGAAUUUUGGACAAUGGGCGGAAGCCUGAUCCAGCAAUGCCGCGUGCAGGAUGAAGGCCUUCGGGUUGUAAACUGCUUCUGUACGGAACGAAAAGCCCCGGGUUAAUACCCUGGGGUCAUGACGGUACCGUAAGAAUAAGCACCGGCUAACUACGUGCCAGCCGCCGCAGUAA